RNAcentral lists this unclassified non-coding RNA (264 nucleotides) under uncultured fungus. RNAcentral describes it as "sequence contains ITS1, 5.8S rRNA gene". The stretch from base 216 to 264 matches the Rfam family "5.8S ribosomal RNA", at positions 1 to 49 of the family's 154-position model. Lineage: Eukaryota; Fungi. The record is from RNAcentral.
UCUCCGUUGGUGAACCAGCGGAGGGAUCAUUACAAAUUUCCGCUGCGCGCUCGGGAGGUAACUCCCCUGCGACCGGAAAAAACCCAGUGAACUUAACCUUAUGUUGCCUCGGCGUGGUGACUCUCUCUUAUAGGAAAGGAGCCCGCCGGUGGACUAAAAAAACUCUUUUAUACUCUUUGAGAUAUAUCUGAUUACACUUUAUACAAAUGUUAUAAAACUUUCAACAACGGAUCUCUUGGCUCCAGCAUCGAUGAAGAACGCAGC